Molecule: ribosomal RNA, 709 nt
Filed under: Bacillus pumilus
Lineage: Bacteria; Bacillati; Bacillota; Bacilli; Caryophanales; Bacillaceae
Description: bacterial SSU rRNA
Rfam family: Bacterial small subunit ribosomal RNA
Source: RNAcentral
CAUGCAAGUCGAGCGGACAGAAGGGAGCUUGCGUCCCGGAUGUUAGCGGCGGACGGGUGAGUAACACGUGGGUAACCUGCCUGUAAGACUGGGAUAACUCCGGGAAACCGGAGCUAAUACCGGAUAGUUCCUUGAACCGCAUGGUUCAAGGAUGAAAGACGGUUUCGGCUGUCACUUACAGAUGGACCCGCGGCGCAUUAGCUAGUUGGUGGGGUAAUGGCUCACCAAGGCGACGAUGCGUAGCCGACCUGAGAGGGUGAUCGGCCACACUGGGACUGAGACACGGCCCAGACUCCUACGGGAGGCAGCAGUAGGGAAUCUUCCGCAAUGGACGAAAGUCUGACGGAGCAACGCCGCGUGAGUGAUGAAGGUUUUCGGAUCGUAAAGCUCUGUUGUUAGGGAAGAACAAGUGCGAGAGUAACUGCUCGCACCUUGACGGUACCUAACCAGAAAGCCACGGCUAACUACGUGCCAGGGGGGCGCGGUAAUACGUAGGUGGCAAGCGUUGUCCGGAAUUAUUGGGCGUAAAGGGCUCGCAGGCGGUUUCUUAAGUCUGAUGUGAAAGCCCCCGGCUCAACCGGGGAGGGUCAUUGGAAACUGGGAAACUUGAGUGCAGAAGAGGAGAGUGGAAUUCCACGUGUAGCGGUGAAAUGCGUAGAGAUGUGGAGGAACACCAGUGGCGAAGGCGACUCUCUGGUCUGUAACUGAC